Long non-coding RNA from Cryptotermes secundus, 818 nucleotides. RefSeq lists it as uncharacterized. Lineage: Eukaryota; Metazoa; Arthropoda; Insecta; Blattodea; Kalotermitidae. The record is from RefSeq and is a predicted model, not a curated record. The transcript is spliced from 3 exons.
CAUUUCCACAAAAUCUUAGUACAUUAGAAGUAUUAUUCUCAUGAAUAAAUAACGUUUUAGAAAAUUGUGUUCUGUGAUCAGUAUGAUAUAACAGCGAAUAAACGUAUAAAUUUCAAAAUGUCUAUUAUUUAAAAAUUCCACCGGAUGUGAUCACGCGAAAAUAUCGUUAAGGUGGACGUAUUGGUAGUGUUUUUUGGACAUAUUUCCACUGACAACCUAGAAUAUUAGAGAAAUAUGCUAAGGUUUAGACACAGGAUCUGAAUAGUGUCUAAUGUGCAUGAACCUGGCUUGCUGGCUGGUUGGCAACUUGAUACACUGAAAGCAAACACUUUAAUGACCCCGGUGGCUGAUGUAACCUAACACUAUUUUCCUUCAAAACCGCCGUAUAAUUUGGAAGGCGAAUCACGCAGAUGGACGGAGAUACCAGAUAAGUUCUUCCCGGUUGUAUCUUUAGAGCACGGAACUUACCAACUUUAUUAGGAAAUAACGUGUCCUGUUGUUUUCGUUUCGUGUCAACCUGCCUGAGAUGGAAGCAAUCGUGCCUUGGGCACCAAGUCCAGUCGCAACUACAUAACUCCUAAGCAACAGUUCUCUGACUGCCCACGGAUCGCAUUUUCAGUGUCAUCACUCCUCUGAUUCAAGUAGUUGUUUUGGGGCCAAGGACAAUAAUUGCCAUUAUGUAAAUCACAGAUUUAACACUGACGAGAGUUCUUAUCUGUGCAUCCUUGGAAUGUAAUUAGUAGCUACCACGUUAAUUGUGAGAGUUAAAGGGCCUUUCUGGUCGGUCACGGUAGCCGAGCGGUCUAAGACAUGUACUC